Molecule: ribosomal RNA, 467 nt
Filed under: uncultured bacterium
Lineage: Bacteria
Description: partial 16S ribosomal RNA
Rfam family: Bacterial small subunit ribosomal RNA
Source: RNAcentral
GACGAACGCUGGCGGCGUGCUUAACACAUGCAAGUCGAACGGAAAGGCCCUGCUUUUGUGGGGUGCUCGAGUGGCGAACGGGUGAGUAACACGUGAGUAACCUGCCCUUGACUUUGGGAUAACUUCAGGAAACUGGGGCUAAUACCGGAUAGGAGCUCCUGCUGCAUGGUGGGGGUUGGAAUGUUUCGGCGGUUGGGGAUGGACUCGCGGCUUAUCAGCUUGUUGGUGGGGUAGUGGCUUACCAAGGCUUUGACGGGUAGCCGGCCUGAGAGGGUGACCGGCCACAUUGGGACUGAGAUACGGCCCAGACUCCUACGGGAGGCAGCAGUGGGGAAUAUUGCACAAUGGGCGGAAGCCUGAUGCAGCAACGCCGCGUGCGGGAUGACGGCCUUCGGGUUGGAAACCGCUUUCGCCUGUGACGAAGCGUGAGUGACGGUAAUGGGUAAAGAAGCACCGGCUAACUACGU